This 313-nucleotide ribosomal RNA is filed under the name Enterococcus faecalis. RNAcentral describes it as "partial 23S ribosomal RNA". It matches the Rfam family "Bacterial large subunit ribosomal RNA", at positions 15 to 326 of the family's 2925-position model. Lineage: Bacteria; Bacillati; Bacillota; Bacilli; Lactobacillales; Enterococcaceae. The record is from RNAcentral.
CGGGCGCACGGUGGAUGCCUUGGCACUAGGAGCCGAUGAAGGACGGGACGAACACCGAUAUGCUUCGGGGAGCUGUAAGCAAGCUUUGAUCCGGAGAUUUCCGAAUGGGGAAACCCACCACUCGUAAUGGAGUGGUAUCCAUAUCUGAAUUCAUAGGAUAUGAGAAGGCAGACCCGGGGAACUGAAACAUCUAAGUACCCGGAGGAAGAGAAAGCAAAUGCGAUUCCCUGAGUAGCGGCGAGCGAAACGGGAUCAGCCCAAACCAAGAGGCUUGCCUCUUGGGGUUGUAGGACACUCUGUACGGAGUUACAAA